Molecule: long non-coding RNA, 8244 nt
Filed under: Vitis vinifera (wine grape)
Lineage: Eukaryota; Viridiplantae; Streptophyta; Magnoliopsida; Vitales; Vitaceae
Description: long non-coding RNA (VVIN_LNC000360)
Source: RNAcentral
GAGCAUCUUGUAUUAUUAAGUUGGUGCUUUCAUUGGAAUGAUAUUAAUAUACAAACCCUUUUAAUAUCACUGUAGUUUUGAACGAAGAAGCCUUCUAGUUCCUUAAUGCUCACCAUGGAUUAUGUGAUCUAGGCGUCCAGUCUAAGGAUUCCAUGUGGGCACAAGGCCUUUUGAUCUGUCCACCUGAGGUUUAGGGAACUUGGUAAAAUUUUAAGUACAGAUGAAAAUGCUGGUUUUGGUGCUAAAUCUACAGGUACUGCUUCAAGAUACCUGACAACUACCCAUUAGCUUCAGCAGCACCUUUGCUAUGUGCUGGAAUUACUGUUUACACUCCCAUGAUGCGCCACAAGAUGAACCAACCUGGUAAAUCCCUCGGGGUGAUUGGGCUAGGUGGUCUUGGUCACUUGGCUGUGAAGUUUGGCAAGGCUUUUGGAUUGCGUGUCACAGUUCUCAGCACAAGCAUAUCCAAGAAAGAAGAAGCUCUGAAUCUGCUUGGAGCAGACAAAUUUGUGGUCUCAUCAGACGAACAGCAGAUGAUGGUAAAAAUCCAUCCGACUUCCUAUUGUGCAUGGUUUGCCUUGAUAUCGCAAGCAAGAAUGAAGAUGAUUCAUUCAUUGGCUUUUCAUAAAUUGAUGGUUACUAUCUUGUAUGCAGGCUCUUUCUAGAUCACUCGACUUUAUAAUUGAUACUGCAUCAGGUGAUCACCCAUUCGAUCCAUACUUGUCUCUGUUGAAGACUGCCGGAGUCCUAGUUCUGGUGGGGUUCCCAAGUGAAGUGAAAUUCAGUCCUGGAAGCAUUGUCAUGGGUAAUUCUGGCUCUGAAACUUUCUAAUUUAAAAUAGUUACUUGUGAUUGUGCAUUGGUUCAAUUAUCAUAGCCUAGAUAAGUCGGAAUACUCUCAGCUUAUUGAGACUCUAUGAAUCGACCACCCUGCAGGUAUGAGAACUGUUUCUGGUAGCGCUACAGGUGGUACAAAAGAUACACAAGAAAUGCUUGACUUUUGUGCUGCACAUGGAAUUCACCCAGAGAUCGAAGUAAUUCCAAUUCAGUAUGCAAAUGAAGCCCUUGAGAGGCUAAUAAAGAAGGACGUGAAGUACCGUUUUGUGAUUGAUAUUGAAAACUCUCUGAAGUGAUCCAUAGAGGCAGAAGAGGACGUUCUUUUCUCAGACUACAUGUUUGUUGGCUGAAAGCAGAUAAAAAUUGUCAAUCCUUUAUAGAUGCACAGUGGAUGUUUAAUCUUAUGGAAAAAAUAUCCAGGAUCGAACCUUUGUGUUAUGUCAGUGAAGAAAUUACUUUCCAUGUACAUAUACUUCUGUUGGUAUCUAUUUUGGAUAAUGUUCUUCCACAGACAAAAGAACUCACAUCAAGAGUUUUAGAAUCUGCACUGGAAUAAUUGCAUAGACACUUCUAUUUGAUAACAAUGUGAGUGUUGCCUCAUUGGAAAAGAUCUAUUUUUAAGGGUAUGUUUGAUUCAAAAACUUGAGGGAAAUUGUAAGGAAAAUAAAAUAUAGAGGAAAAGUAAAGGAAAAGAAAAUGUGAACGAAAAUAAAAAGUAGAUUUACGUUAUAUUUGAUUCUAGGAAAGAUAUAAACAUGUUAAAGAAAAAUGAUUUUCUUAUAUUUAGUUAAAAUAAGUGAAAUAAGCUUGGAUUAACAUCAAAUACUAAUUUAUUUAUUUUGAUCAAAGAUUAAAUAAUUUAAAAAAUAUAUACAUUUUUAACUAAUUAUAAUUAUAUUUGAUUUUUUUUCCCUAUUUUUUCGAGUAAAACCAAACAUAAGAAAAAUUAUUUUCCUUUAUAUUUUUAUUUCUUUCUUUUUUUAUUUUCUUGGAACCAAACAUAGCAGCGUUGUGUAAUUGUGUUGGUCUUUAUUCAAUACCUUACAUGCUAGGAGCAUAUGCUUAUAUAUGAAUGCUCUUUACUCGCUUUCAAAUGCCAAAUAUAGCUUCACCAUUAUAUGUUAGAAUCCAACCAAGAUCCUUGUUAUAACUCAACCAAGAUAAAUACCCUAAUUUAUAUAUACUGGAAUAUUUAACAAGGUGAAUACCCUAACUUCAUAUAUACUGGAAUAUUUAAUAAGGUGAAUACCCUAACUUCAUAUAUACUGGAAUAUUUAACAAGGAGAACACCCUAAUGUCAUAUAUAUUGGAAUCUCCUGAUUAAAAACAAUGAGUAGAAAAAUAAUAGCGGAAGCAUACCUGAAUCCAUUGAAGGAGAAACCUUAUAGGAAGAAAACCCUUUGAGAUGGUCUUCCAAUUCUAGCCACUAGAUUCUGUGUCAAUUUCUCUCUGAGAGGAUUUUCAGAAAUUGGAAUGCGUAGUCGUAGAAUGUGGACCAUAACCCUAUUUAUAAACCGCUAGGGCAGUUUUAAUUUUAUCACAAUUAUAUUUCUGCCCCUCAUAGAAAUAAUAAUUGUCUAAUGGUAUCUACACAAUAAUCUCAUGACAAUUAUACCCUUAAGCCAAUUAAUCAAUUAUUAAUUAGAUCACUAUAUUUAGGCUUAAUUAAAUGAUAGCACACACAUUUUAAUUAUUUACAUGUGUGGCCCAAAUUAUAGAUUAAUUACAAAAAUUAAUCUAACAAUCUCCCACUGGGCCACAUGCAUAUGUAAUCAAAUAAAUGUGUUUAACCUUAUGAGCUCAAAAUUUGCUAUCAUGUCCUUAGGGUAUAUCCGAACAAUCUCGUCCAUUAACUAUACUGACAUAGGAUCAAGGUGGCCUUUGUUACAUCAAUCGUUACUAGACCAAUCAAUGGUCACAUAUAUCUGCACAGCUAAAUGACAUAGAUCAAUCAUGAGUGCAUAGCAUGGAAAUUACAUGCAAUGUGAUCUAUUCAUGCAUAUUUCCAACUGGUCCAACUUAACUUUAUUGAGAUCAAAUCUUUAGCAUAAUUUAACAGAGUGCAAUAAAAUGAAUACUUUAUUUCUGCAGAACACAAUCCAAAUGUAUAGAUAAAGUCUAAACAUAACAUAGAGCAAUAUACAAUGAAUAAUACAAACUCCCACUAAAUUUGGAUAUCCUCAAAUGAGACAACACCCAUACGAGCAGUGUGCUCAUGAAAGACCUUGGGUGGUAAUCCCUUUGUAAGCGGAUCCGCUAUCAUGGAGUUUGUUCCAAUAUGCUCUAUGGAUAUCUGUCCACUCUGUACUUUUUCUUUUACAACAAGGAACUUGAUAUCAAUGUAUUUUGAUUUUGUAGAACUCCUGUUGUUAUUGGAAUAUAAAACUGCUGAUUUAUUGUCACAAAAUAUCUUCAGUGGUCUUUCAAUACCAUCCAGAACAUGCGGCCCAGUGACAAAAUUUCGUAGCCAUAUUCCUUGAUUGGAUGCCUCAUAACAUGCUACAAACUCUGCUUCCAUGGUGGAUGAAGUUACGAGUGUCUGUUUGGCAGACCUCCAUGAAAUUGCUCCACCAGCCAAUAGAUAAAUAUAGCCUGAUGUGGAUCUUCUGCUGUCUUGGCAUCCAGCAAAGUCGGAGUCGGAAUACCCAAUCAACUCUAACUGAUCCAAUCUCCUAUAUGUAAGCAUGUACUCUUUUGUUCUCUGUAAAUAUCUCAUAACCCUCUUGGCUGCUCUCCAAUGAUCUAUUCCAGGGUUACUUAGAUAUCUGCCUAACAUGCCAACAAUGUACGCAAUAUCCGGACGUGUACAUACCUGAGCAUACAUUAGACUCCCCACAGCCGAAGCGUAAGGAAUCUUCUGCAUUUCUUGACUUUCUAAACUAUUUUUAGGGCAUUGAUUAAGACUGAAUUUGUCUCCUUUAGCGACAGGGGUAUCACCUGGUUUGCUAUUUUGCAUGCCAUACCUUUGGAGGACUUUAUCAAUAUAGGUCCUUUGUGACAAUCCUAAAAUACCCCUAGAACGAUCUCGCUGUAUCUGGAUUCCUAAGACAAAGGAGGCAUCACCAAGAUCUUUCAUCUCAAAAUGUUUUGAUAAAAAUCUCUUGGUGUCGUGCAAUAUGCUAAUAUCAUUUGUAGCUAGCAAUAUGUCAUCGACAUAUAAAACCAGGAAAAUAUACUUACUCCCACUGAAUUUGUGAUACACACAUUCAUCCAUAAGAUUUGCCUCAAAACCAUAUGAGACAUAAUUUGAUGAAACUUGAAGUACCACUGACGAGAAGCUUGCUUGAGCCCAUAAAUGGNNNNNNNNNNNNNNNNNNNNNNNNNNNNNNNNNNNNNNNNNNNNNNNNNNNNNNNNNNNNNNNNNNNNNNNNNNNNNNNNNNNNNNNNNNNNNNNNNNNNUGUCUUGCAUAUAUUUGUACUCUUCAUUCUUGGCUUCAAUCCAUUUCUGAGAGUUGGAACUUUUCAUGGCUUGCUGGAAGUUGAUUGGAUCAUCUUCCAUCAUUCCACUUUCUACCUCACGUUCCUGGAGAUAUACGAUAUAAUCGUCCGAAAUUGCAUUUCUCCUCUCUCUAGUGGAUCUCCUUAAUGGCAUAUUUUCUUGAGGUUGUUGAGUUUGUUCUUCAGGAGCAAUGUCCUCAUUUGCAAUUAAUGGUUGAACAAUAUUGUCUGUUGGUUGAGGAUCCAAAUUUACUUCUUGAUCAAUGAUAGGUAGUGAAACCUGUACAUUAUCAAAAGCAAUAGUAGAUCCCUCUUCCUCCUCAAAGACAAUAUUCCUAGCCUGAUUUCUCCCCCCAAACUCAACAUCCUCAAAAAAUGUUGCAGUUCCCGUCUCAAAAAUUGACCUAAUAGCAGGAUCAUAAAAUUUAAAACCCCUUGAUCGCUCUGCAUAGCCAAUAAAGUAGCUGCUAACUGUUUUAGAGUCCAAUUUCUUUUCAUGAGGCUUAUAAGGUCUCGCUUCAGCUGGACAUCCCCAAAUAUGAAAAUGCUUUAAACUGGGCUUUCGACCCGUCCAAAGCUCAUAAGGCGUUUUAGCAGUCGCUUUAGUUGGCACCCGAUUGAGAAUAUAAGCUGCCGUUUUGAGUGCUUCACCCCAGAGUUUUUCGGGUAAAGUAGAAUGACUAAUCAUACUCCUUACCAUGUCCUUAAGGGUUCGGUUUCGUCUUUCUGCUACACCAUUCAUGCUAGGUGAUCCUGGCAUGGUGUAUUGAGGGACGAUCCCACAUUCCUCUAGGUAUUUAGCAAAUGGUCCUGGAUGUUGUUCACCUGAUCCGUCAUAUUUACCAUAGUAUUCACCACCACGGUCAGAUCUGACGCUCUUUAUCCUUUUGUUGAGUUGUAACUCAACUUCUGCUUUAAAUGUUUUGAACACGUCCAAUGAUUGUGAUUUCUCAUGUAUAAGAAAUAGGUAGCUAUAUCUUGAGUAGUCGUCUAUGAAUGUUAUAAAGUACUGUUGACCAUUCCAAGAUGCCGUAGGGUAUGGUCCACAGAUAUCUGUAUGAAUUAAUUCUAAGACGUCUGUAGCUCUAUUGGCACCUAAUUUCUUUGUUUUGGUAUGUUUUCCUUUAAUACACUCAACACAAAUAUCAAAAUCUGAAAAGUCAAGUGAAUCCAAAAUCCCAUCGGACACAAGUCGCUCAACUCUAGAUUUAGAGAUAUGACCUAGGCGUUUGUGCCACAAUGAGGCCAAAUUAUCUUUAUUCAAUUUACGUUUUGUACCUCGUGAUUCCACAUGCAAGGUUUCAUUAUAGGACGGAACAGUUUCCAACAAAUAUAGAUUAUCAUAAACAUUAAGUAAACCGGUUCCUACAGCAUUUGAAUUAAUAGAUAAUGUAAAUUUAUUGUUUCCAAAUGAACAACAAUAACCUGAUUUGUCCAAAACAGAAACUGAAAUUAAAUUCCGUCUGAAAGACGGUACAAUAAAAGUAUCUAUUAAAUCCAAAAAAUAACCAGAUUUCAAUAAUAAUCUAAAGUGCCUUAUUGCCUCUACUUCUACCGACUGACCGUCUCCGACAUAGAUGCAUCUUUCAGCAUCACUUGGUUUUUGGUAACUCAGGCAACCCUGCAUAGAAACACAAAUGUGAGUAGUAGCACCAGAAUCUAACCACCAUGUGUUUCUAGAUACUGAAGCUAAAUUAACUUCAGAACAGACCAAAGUAAGAAACAUACCUUUCUUAACCCGCCAAGCAGCAUACUUGGUACAUUCCUUCUUAGUAUGUCCAGGCUUAUUACAGAAGAAACAUGUUACCUCAACUUUCUAUUUCUUUUGUUCUGGACCAUUAGAAGCAGCAACCUUAUUAUCCUUAUUUUUUCGUUUGCCCUUAUCCUUAGAAGUGCUAGCCAGAUGAGCACUUUCGGUCUUGUCUUGCUUCAAUCUCUCUUCCUCUUGCACACAGAAUGAAAUGAGCUCAUUAAGAGUCCAUUUAUCCUUUUGACAGUUAUAACUGACCUUGAAUUGAUUAAAUUGUGCAGGAAGAGAGAUGAGAACCAAAUGCACGAGUAAAUCAUCAGAUAACUCGAGUUUCAAAGCCUUAAGUUUUGAAGCAAGAUGAGACAUCUCCAUGAUGUACUCCCGAACAUUACCCUUGCCUUUAUACUUCAUUGAAAUCAAGCUUGCUAAAAGCGUGCUCGUUUCAGCCUUAUCGUUUUUGGCAAAACGUUUCUGAAUUUCCGCAAGGAAGUCACUGGCAUUAGUAACCUCAUCGGUUACCGCACCCCUGAAAGCUUCUGGAAUGCCGCGCUUCAUGAUCAUAAGACUUAGCCUAUUUGAACGUUCCCACUUACCCCAAUAAACCUCAUCCUCUUGAGUACUUUGCUCAUUGAGUUCAUCAGGUUUGGGCAUUCUCAAGGCCAAGUCUAUAUCCAUGCAGCCUAAGAGAAUCAUCAUAUUCUCUUUCCAGUCCUUAAAAUUAGUCCCAUUUAACAUAGGGACAUUAUUGAUGUUGGCAGAUAUAGAAGUAGUUGAUAUAAAAGCUGAAUCGAGAACAAAAUAAAAUGAAUCAAAUAAACCAUCAUGCUCACAUAAAAUAAGCAAUUAAACACAUAAUCUUUAAAUUUAAAAGCAAAUUAUGACAUUUCAAGAUACCUAGCACAACAUUAAUAUCAAGUCUUUGGACAGUAAUAUUAACUGUAAGUGGUACUCUUGUUGUAGUGAUCAAACAUUGAUGAUAAGUUAUGUCAAAUAAUAAAUCUAUCUUUGGAUUGAUUUAUUAUUCACAUUAAGUUACCUUUAUAAUCAUCACAUAUUUAUCGCCACAAGUAUGUAUGCAAUUUGACCAAAUAUUAACUUUCCUUUGGGUCAGUCAAUACCCGCAUGAAUCACAUACACACAAAUAUCUAACACCCCGAACAGACUAAUCUACACGGAAGAUGUCACUUUGGUGAUUUUUCGCUUUAAUUAGCCUAUUUAAAAUGCUAGAUCAAUAACUUAAAUAUUAAUAUCAUAAAAUGCUAUUAAAUAAUAAUAAUAAUAAUAGUAAUAAAAAAAAAAAAUUUAUCAACUCAAUAUUUCAUAAAUCUUAAUCCAUUGACAUAUAUUAAAAUAAUAACUCAAAGAAUUAAUCAAGGAGUAGGCUCUGAUACCACUUGUUAGAAUCCAACCAAGAUCCUUGUUAUAACACAACCAAGAUAAAUACCCUAAUUUAUAUAUACUGGAAUAUUUAACAAGGUGAAUACCCUAACUUCAUAUAUACUGGAAUAUUUAAUAAGGUGAAUACCCUAACUUCAUAUAUACUGGAAUAUUUAACAAGGAGAAUACCCUAAUGUCAUAUAUACUGGAAUCUCCUGAUUAAAAACAAUGAGUAGAAAAAUAAUAGCGGAAGCAUACCUGAAUCCAUUGAAGGAGAAACCUUAUAGGAAGAAAACCCUUUGAGAUGGUCUUCCAAUUCUAGCCACUAGAUUCUGUGUCAAUUUCUCUCUGAGAGGAUUUUCAGAAAUUGGAAUGCGUAGUCGUAGAAUGGGGACCAUAACCCUAUUUAUAAACCGCUAGGGCAGUUUUAAUUUUAUCACAAUUAUAUUUCUGCCCCUCAUAGAAAUAAUAAUUGUCUAAUGGUAUCUACACAAUAAUCUCAUGACAAUUAUACCCUUAAGCCAAUUAAUCAAUUAUUAAUUAGAUCACUAUAUUUAGGCUUAAUUAAAUGAUAGCACACACAUUUUAAUUAUUUACAUGUGUGGCCCAAAUUAUAGAUUAAUUACAAAAAUUAAUCUAACAUUAUACCUUUUCAAUCAAGCUCAAACCAUCAUUAUCUAGAAUCUAUAUAAGCCCUUUACCACAAGAAUUUACAGGUACUGCUUCAAGAUACCUGACAACUACCCAUCAGCUUCAGCAGCACCUUUGCUAUGUGCUGGAAUUACUGUUUACACUCCCAUGAUGCGCCAUAAGAUGAACCAACCUGGUAAAUCCCUCGGGGUG